UGAAUUUAAGCAUAUAAGUAAGCGGAGGACAAGAAACUAAACAGGAUCCCCAUAGUAAUGGCGAAUGAACCGGGAUAAACUCAGCAUGGAAAUUGGGGCCUUUGGCUUUGACUUGUAAUCUGGUGAGGCAUUGCCAACAGAGGCGCAUAUGUAAGUCUCUUGGAAAAGAGCAUCAACGAAGGUGAGAGUCCUGAUUGUCAUGUGCAGCCCCCCUGUGCACGGUGUGCCUUCUAAGAGUCACGUUCCUUGGGAUUGGAGCGCAAAUUGGGUGGUAACUUUCAUCUGAAGUUAAACAAUGGUUUGGGACCGAUAGGAAACAAGUACCAUGAGGGAAAGGUGAAAAGGACUUUGGAAAGAGAGUUAAAAGUGCCUGAAAUUGCUGAAGGGGAAGCGAAUGGAACCAGUGGUGCUGGGUGAGAUUGUCACAUGCUGCAAGGAUUGGUUGCUGCCACAACGCAAGUGUGCUGGCAAUUUGUGAACUGCUAGUGUGUGGUGUGUCUUACCUAGUGGGUCAUUGUGGGUUUAUGCAUUAAGAUAAAUCAAAGCAAGCGGGAGCAAGUUUACGAGUUUGUGAAUGUGUGUUGUUAUGCUUGUGCGUAAGCUUUAGUGUUUGUCUGGCUGCAGGGCUGUCCAUCCUCAAGCUUUGCUGUGGUUGCGAUGAGCAUAACCUUCUGCACAGAUCUUGACGAAAUGGUUUCAUUCGACCCGUCUUGAAACACGGACCAAGGAGUCUAGCAUAUGUGCAUGCGCAUGGGCUUUACACCUGUGUGUGCAACGAAAGUGACUGCUGGGAUAAGUGCGCCAGCAACCGACCAAUUGAUUGAGAAAGGUUUGAGUAUCAGCAUAUGUGUUAGGACCCGAAAGAUGGUGAACUAUGCUUGAGAAGGGCAAACUCAGGGGAAACUCUGAUGGAGGCUCGUAGCGGUACUGACGUGCAAAUCGUUCGUCAUACUUGGGUAUA
RNAcentral lists this ribosomal RNA (961 nucleotides) under Dinophysis acuminata complex sp. Its description in RNAcentral is "partial large subunit ribosomal RNA". It matches the Rfam family "Eukaryotic large subunit ribosomal RNA", at positions 29 to 919 of the family's 3401-position model. Lineage: Eukaryota; Dinophyceae; Dinophysales; Dinophysaceae. The record is from RNAcentral.